CAAGUCGAGCGGACAGAUGGGAGCUUGCUCCCUGAUGUUAGCGGCGGACGGGUGAGUAACACGUGGGUAACCUGCCUGUAAGACUGGGAUAACUCCGGGAAACCGGGGCUAAUACCGGAUGGUUGUUUGAACCGCAUGGUUCAAACAUAAAAGGUGGCUUCGGCUACCACUUACAGAUGGACCCGCGGCGCAUUAGCUAGUUGGUGAGGUAACGGCUCACCAAGGCAACGAUGCGUAGCCGACCUGAGAGGGUGAUCGGCCACACUGGGACUGAGACACGGCCCAGACUCCUACGGGAGGCAGCAGUAGGGAAUCUUCCGCAAUGGACGAAAGUCUGACGGAGCAACGCCGCGUGAGUGAUGAAGGUUUUCGGAUCGUAAAGCUCUGUUGUUAGGGAAGAACAAGUACCGUUCGAAUAGGGCGGUACCUUGACGGUACCUAACCAGAAAGCCACGGCUAACUACGUGCCAGCAGCCGCGGUAAUACGUAUGUGGCAAGCGUUGUCCGGAAUUAUUGGGCGUAAAGGGCUCGCAGGCGGUUUCUUAAGUCUGAUGUGAAAGCCCCCGGCUCAACCGGGGAGGGUCAUUGGAAACUGGGGAACUUGAGUGCAGAAGAGAGAGUGGAAUUCCACGUGUAUCGGUGAAAUGCGUAUAGAUGUGGGAGGAACAC
RNAcentral lists this ribosomal RNA (669 nucleotides) under Bacillus subtilis. RNAcentral describes it as "bacterial SSU rRNA". It matches the Rfam family "Bacterial small subunit ribosomal RNA", at positions 58 to 709 of the family's 1533-position model. The record is from RNAcentral. Lineage: Bacteria; Bacillati; Bacillota; Bacilli; Caryophanales; Bacillaceae.